AUUGAACGCUGGCGGCAUGCCUUACACAUGCAAGUCGAACGGCAGCACGGGGGCAACCCUGGUGGCGAGUGGCGAACGGGUGAGUAAUACAUCGGAACGUGUCCUGUUGUGGGGGAUAACCCACCGAAAGGUGAGCUAAUACCGCAUGAUCUGGAGACAGCAAAGCAGGGGACCGCAAGGCCUUGCGCGAUUGGAGCGGCCGAUGUCCGAUUAGCUAGUUGGCGGGGUAAAGGCCCACCAAGGCGACGAUCGGUAGCUGGUCUGAGAGGAUGAUCAGCCACACUGGGACUGAGACACGGCCCAGACUCCUACGGGAGGCAGCAGUGGGGAAUUUUGGACAAUGGGGGCAACCCUGAUCCAGCCAUGCCGCGUGAGUGAAGAAGGCCUUCGGGUUGUAAAGCUCUUUCGGUGGGAACGAAACGGUGGAUGCUAAUACCAUCCAUUAAUGACGGUACCUACAGAAGAAGCACCGGCUAACUACGUGC
RNAcentral lists this ribosomal RNA (485 nucleotides) under uncultured bacterium. Its description in RNAcentral is "bacterial SSU rRNA". It matches the Rfam family "Bacterial small subunit ribosomal RNA", at positions 29 to 508 of the family's 1533-position model. The record is from RNAcentral.